CNUAAGACAUGCAAGUCGAGCGAGAAAGCCCUUCGGGGUGAGUAGAGCGGCGGACGGGUGAGUAACGCGUAGGAAUCUACCCAGUAGUGGGGGACAACUAGUGGAAACGCUAGCUAAUACCGCAUACGCCCUACGGGGGAAAGCGGGGGACCUUCGGGCCUCGUGCUAUUGGAUGAGCCUGCGUGAGAUUAGCUUGUUGGUGAGGUAAUGGCUCACCAAGGCGACGAUCUUUAGCUGGUCUGAGAGGAUGAUCAGCCACACCGGGACUGAGACACGGCCCGGACUCCUACGGGAGGCAGCAGUCGGGAAUAUUGCGCAAUGGGCGGAAGCCUGACGCAGCCAUGCCGCGUGUGUGAAGAAGGCCCUAGGGUUGUAAAGCACUUUCAAUUGGGAGGAAAAGCUAAUGGUUAAUAACCGUUAGCCCUGACGUUACCUUUAGAAGAAGCACCGGCUAACUCCGUGCCAGCAGCCGCGGUAAUACGGAGGGUGCAAGCGUUAAUCGGAAUUACUGGGCGUAAAGCGCGCGUAGGCGGUUUUUUAAGUCGGAUGUGAAAGCCCCGGGCUCAACCUGGGAACUGCAUCCGAUACUGGAAGACUAGAAUGCGGGAGAGGGAGGUAGAAUUCCAUGUGUAGCAGUGAAAUGCGUAGAUAUAUGGAGGAAUACCAGUGGCGAAGGCGGCCUCCUGGCUCGACAUUGACGCUGAGGUGCGAAAGCGUGGGGAGCAAACGGGAUUAGAUACCCCGGUAGUCCACGCCGUAAACGAUGUCUACUAGCUGUAGGGGUACUUGAGACCUUUGUAGCGCAGCUAACGCAAUAAGUANACCGCC
Molecule: ribosomal RNA, 828 nt
Filed under: uncultured Gammaproteobacteria bacterium
Lineage: Bacteria; Pseudomonadati; Pseudomonadota; Gammaproteobacteria
Description: SSU rRNA
Rfam family: Bacterial small subunit ribosomal RNA
Source: RNAcentral